AGCAUGUGGUUAAUUCGAUGCAACGCGAAGAACCUUACCUACUCUUGACAUCCAGAGAAUUCGCUAGAGAUAGCUUAGUGCCUUCGGGAACUCUGAGACAGGUGGUGCAUGGUUGUCGUCAGCUCGUGUCGUGAGAUGUGGGUUAAGUCCCGCAACGAGCGCAACCCCUACGUUUAGUUGCUAACAGGUGAAGCUGAGCACUCUAGACGAACUGCCGUUGACAAAACGGAGGAAGGUGGGAUGACGUCAAAUCAUCAUGCCCCUUAUGUUCUGGGCUACACACGUGCUACAAUGGCCGGUACAGACGGAGGCGAAGCCGCGAGGCGGAGCAAAUCCGAAAAAGCUGGUCUCAGUUCAGAUUGCAGGCUGCAAUUCGCCUGCAUGAAGUCGGAAUCGCUAGUAAUCGCGGAUCAGCACGCCGCGGUGAAUACGUUCCCGGGCCUU
This 444-nucleotide ribosomal RNA is filed under the name uncultured Pelotomaculum sp. Its description in RNAcentral is "bacterial SSU rRNA". It matches the Rfam family "Bacterial small subunit ribosomal RNA", at positions 936 to 1382 of the family's 1533-position model. The record is from RNAcentral. Lineage: Bacteria; Bacillati; Bacillota; Clostridia; Eubacteriales; Desulfotomaculaceae.